This 726-nucleotide ribosomal RNA is filed under the name uncultured bacterium. Its description in RNAcentral is "bacterial SSU rRNA". It matches the Rfam family "Bacterial small subunit ribosomal RNA", at positions 28 to 776 of the family's 1533-position model. The record is from RNAcentral.
GACGAACGCUGGCGGCAUGCCUAACACAUGCAAGUCGAACGGAAGUAGCAAUACUUUAGUGGCGAACGGGUGAGUAACACGUGAGCAACCUGCCUCAGACUACGGGAUAACACAGAGAAAUUUGUGCUAAUACGGUAUAAGACCACGCUAUGGCAUCAUAGAGGGGUAAAAGAUUUUAUCGGUUUGAGAUGGGCUCGCGCCCAAUUAGCUAGUUGGUGAGGUAACGGCUCACCAAGGCAACGAUUGGUAGCCGACUUGAGAGAGUGAUCGGCCACAUUGGAACUGAGAUACGGUCCAGACUCCUACGGGAGGCAGCAGUGGGGAAUAUUGGGCAAUGGGGGCAACCCUUACCAAGCAAUGCCGCGUGAGUGAAGAAGGUCUUCGGAUUGUAAAGCUCUUUGAUUGGGGACGAAACAAAUGACGGUACCCAAGGAACAAGCCCCGGCUAACUAUGUGCCAGCAGCCGCGGUAAUACAUAGGGGGCAAGCGUUGUCCGGAAUGACUGGGCGUAAAGGGUGUGUAGGCGGUUGUGCAAGUUGGAAGUGUAAUACCCAGGGCUUAACUCGGGUGCUGCUUCCAAAACUGCGCGACUUGAGUAUCGGAGAGGAAAGUGGAAUUCCUAGUGUAGCGGUGGAAUGCAUAGAUAUUAGGAGGAACACCGGUGGCGAAAGCGACUUUCUGGACGAUCACUGACGCUGAGGCACGAAAGCGUGGGGAGCAAACAGG